RNAcentral lists this ribosomal RNA (838 nucleotides) under Phaeobotryon rhoinum. Its description in RNAcentral is "partial large subunit ribosomal RNA". It matches the Rfam family "Eukaryotic large subunit ribosomal RNA", at positions 73 to 929 of the family's 3401-position model. The record is from RNAcentral. Lineage: Eukaryota; Fungi; Ascomycota; Dothideomycetes; Botryosphaeriales; Botryosphaeriaceae.
GAUUGCCUUAGUAACGGCGAGUGAAGCGGCAACAGCUCAAAUUUGAAAGCUGGCUCCUUCGGAGUCCGCAUUGUAAUUUGUAGAGGAUGAUUCGGCGAGGGCUCCCGCCUAAGUCCACUGGAACGUGGCGUCAUAGAGGGUGAGAAUCCCGUAUGCGGUGGGUUGCCUUAGCCAUGUGAAUCUCCUUCGACGAGUCGAGUUGUUUGGGAAUGCAGCUCUAAAUGGGAGGUAAAUUUCUUCUAAAGCUAAAUACCGGCCAGAGACCGAUAGCGCACAAGUAGAGUGAUCGAAAGAUGAAAAGCACUUUGGAAAGAGAGUUAAAAAGUACGUGAAAUUGUUGAAAGGGAAGGGCUUGCAACCAGACUUGUCCGCAGUUGCUCAGCCGGUCUCCUGACCGGCGUACUCUUCUGCGGCCAGGCCAGCAUCAGUUCGGGCGGUCGGAUAAAGACCUAGGGAAUGUAGCUCCUCUCGGGGAGUGUUAUAGCCCUGGGUGGAAUGCGGCCAGCCUGGACUGAGGAUCUCGCUUCGGCAAGGAUGCUGGCGUAAUGGUUGUAAGCCGCCCGUCUUGAAACACGGACCAAGGAGUCUAACAUCUAUGCGAGUGUUUGGGUGUCAAACCCAUACGCGUAAUGAAAGUGAACGGAGGUGGGAACCCGCAAGGGCGCACCAUCGGCCGAUCCUGAUGUCUUCGGAUGGAUUUGAGCAAGAGCAUAGCUGUUGGGACCCGAAAGAUGGUGAACUAUGCCUGAAUAGGGUGAAGCCAGAGGAAACUCUGGUGGAGGCUCGCAGCGGUUCUGACGUGCAAAUCGAUCGUCAAAUUUGGGUAUAGGGGCGAAAG